Molecule: transfer RNA, 69 nt
Filed under: Rattus norvegicus (Norway rat)
Lineage: Eukaryota; Metazoa; Chordata; Mammalia; Rodentia; Muridae
Rfam family: tRNA
About the family: Transfer RNA (tRNA) molecules are approximately 80 nucleotides in length. Their secondary structure includes four short double-helical elements and three loops (D, anti-codon, and T loops).
Source: Rfam by way of RNAcentral
GGGGAUUUAGCUCAGUGGUAGAGCGCUUGCAUAGCAAGCACAAAACCCUGGGUUCGGUCCCCAGCUCCG